This 442-nucleotide ribosomal RNA is filed under the name uncultured bacterium. RNAcentral's name for it is "partial 16S ribosomal RNA". It matches the Rfam family "Bacterial small subunit ribosomal RNA", at positions 338 to 795 of the family's 1533-position model. The record is from RNAcentral.
CCUACGGGAGGCAGCAGUAGGGAAUAUUUCACAAUGGGCGAAAGCCUGAUGCAGCAACGCCGCGUGCAGGAUGAAGGCCUUCGGGUUGUAAACUGCUUUUAUAAGCGAGAAAUAUGAUGGUAACUUAUGAAUAAGGAUCGGCUAACUACGUGCCAGCAGCCGCGGUCAUACGUAGGAGCCGAGCAUUAUCCGGAUUGACUGGGUGUAAAGAGUUGGGUAAGUGGGAUAAUAAGUAGCGAGGGCGAUCUGGUGGCUCAAACACUCGGACUAUUAGCUAAACUGUUAAGCUGGAGAUCGUGAGGGGUAAGUGGAAUUUCUAGUGUAGGAGGGAAAUGCGUAGAUAUUAGGAGGAACACCGAUGGCGUAGGCAGGUUGCUGGAACGGUACUGACGCUAAGGCACGAAAGCGUAGGGAGCAAACAGGAUUAGAUACCCCAGUAGUC